Molecule: long non-coding RNA, 729 nt
Filed under: Marmota monax (woodchuck)
Lineage: Eukaryota; Metazoa; Chordata; Mammalia; Rodentia; Sciuridae
Source: RNAcentral
UUAUCUGAACUAGCUGAGAGAAGUAGCAGGCCAGGAGACAAUGCCCUAAAUGGAUGUUUCCUAUGGUUAAUAGGACCAUAGUCUAGAAGCUCUGCUUCCAGAAAGCUCCUGACAAUCUUACCUCAGUCUUCAUCCCUGCUUGGCUCUGGCCCAUGUUCUUUGUGGCACUUGGAGGCCUCUGGUGACAGGUAGUAAAGGGACAGAUGUAAAACUGGGCCUGCUUUCUGCUGAAGGACAAGCUCAGAUUCCAAAGGGCAUCCCCAGGCUUGAGGGAGUAUAUGGGCUGAUCUGGACAAGAGGGAACUCUGUGCAGGAAGCACUGCACAGUUCUGAUGAAAACCUAACUUAGGAGCAUGAAUGACAUGGGGGCAGAUGAGGCAAAGUGUGUUGGGCCCAGCUGGAGGCUGUGGCCACAGCCUCCAAGCCACUGAGGCAGAGUAGAGCACAGCAGCCCAUGGGACCCACAGGGCAGGCUGAAAGCUACCACCAUCCUGAUUUCCUUCUCCAUGCCACUCAUUAUUUCUCCUUCCCAGUGUCUCCUCAAAGAUUGUGUUGAACAGUGUUAACCAUCAGUGUUUCACCUUGAAAGCAGAUGAAAUGGCAUCUCCUAUGGAGAACAUGCUGGGGGAGCAUUUGCCCCCCUAAGUUACACUUUUGAUCCUUGGGCAGCUAGGAUGCCCAUGCCUAGAUUCAGAGAUUUCCACCAUGCUUAAAACAGUUUGCUCUUGA